This 271-nucleotide ribosomal RNA is filed under the name Lactobacillus delbrueckii. Its description in RNAcentral is "partial 16S ribosomal RNA". It matches the Rfam family "Bacterial small subunit ribosomal RNA", at positions 421 to 684 of the family's 1533-position model. Lineage: Bacteria; Bacillati; Bacillota; Bacilli; Lactobacillales; Lactobacillaceae. The record is from RNAcentral.
GAUCGUAAAGCUCUGUUGUUGGUGAAGAAGGAUAGAGGCAGUAACUGGUCUUUAUUUGACGGUAAUCAACCAGAAAGUCACGGCUAACUACGUGCCAGCAGCCGCGGUAAUACGUAGGUGGCAAGCGUUGUCCGGAUUUAUUGGGCGUAAAGCGAGCGCAGGCGGAAUGAUAAGUCUGAUGUGAAAGCCCACGGCUCAACCGUGGAACUGCAUCGGAAACUGUCAUUCUUGAGUGCAGAAGAGGAGAGUGGAACUCCAUGUGUAGCGGUGG